GACGAACGCUGGCGGCGUGCCUAAUACAUGCAAGUAGAACGCUGAAGGCGGAGCUUGCUUCUCUGGAUGAGUUGCGAACGGGUGAGUCACGCGUAGGUAACCUGCCUGGUAGCGGGGGAUAACUAUUGGAAACGAUAGCUAAUACCGCAUCAGAGUAGAUGUUGCAUGACAUUUGCUUAAAAGGUGCAAUUGCCUCACUACCAGCUGGACCUGCGUUGUAUUAGCUAGUUGGUGAGGUAACGGCUCACCAAGGCGACGAUACAUAGCCGACCUGAGAGGGUGAUCGGCCACACUGGGACUGAGACACGGCCCAGACUCCUACGGGAGGCAGCAGUAGGGAAUCUUCGGCAAGGGACGGAAGUCUGACCGAGCAACGCCGCGUGAGUGAAGAAGGUUUUCGGAUCGUAAAGCUCGGUUGUAAGAGAAGAACGAGUGUGAGAGUGGAAAGUUCACACUGUGACGGUAUCUUACCAGAAAGGGACGGCUAACUACGUG
This 495-nucleotide ribosomal RNA is filed under the name uncultured bacterium. RNAcentral's name for it is "partial 16S ribosomal RNA". It matches the Rfam family "Bacterial small subunit ribosomal RNA", at positions 28 to 507 of the family's 1533-position model. The record is from RNAcentral.